AUACGGAGGGUGCAAGCGUUGUCCGGAUUUAUUGGGUUUAAAGGGUGCGUAGGUGGCGUGUUAAGCCAGUGGUGAAAGCCUGCAGCUCAACUGUAGAGGUGCCAUUGAUACUGACAUGCUUGAGUAUGGACGAGGUAGGCGGAAUUUGUGGUGUAGCGGUGAAAUGCAUAGAUACCACAAAGAACACCGAUAGCGAAGGCAGCUUACUGGACCAUAACUGACACUGAGGCACGAAAGUGUGGGUAGCGAACAGGAUUAGAAACCCUAGUAGUCC
RNAcentral lists this ribosomal RNA (274 nucleotides) under uncultured bacterium. RNAcentral's name for it is "partial 16S ribosomal RNA". It matches the Rfam family "Bacterial small subunit ribosomal RNA", at positions 523 to 796 of the family's 1533-position model. The record is from RNAcentral.